Non-coding RNA from Lagopus muta (rock ptarmigan), 470 nucleotides. NCBI's taxonomy places the organism in Eukaryota, Metazoa, Chordata, Aves, Galliformes, Phasianidae. The record is from the annotation of a RefSeq genome assembly.
CAGUCAGAAAUGAGAACGUGGACAGUUUGGUGCUUGGUCUUGUGCUUCUUUGGAGCAAGAGCUAAGAUAACACAAAACUCAAGUCUGGUACUGAAAGAAGAUGAGAGUGCUACCCUGGGAUGCAGUCAAAAUGACAAUCACAAUUAUAUGUACUGGUAUCUGCAGCAGCCAGGAAAAGGGCUGCAGUUAAUCUAUUAUUCCUAUGGAGCAAAUCAGGAAUAUAAAGGUGAUAUUCACACUGGAUACGAAGCUAAGCGGAUAAGCCAGGAAUACUUUCGUUUAGAUCUCAUGUCUGUGAAGAAGAACCAUUCAGCUACCUAUUUCUGUGCCUCAAGUUUGGACACAACACUUCAAAGUCACUUGCGUUCUGUACAUAAACUCCUCUCCAGUACCUUCCCUCAGAAGGGAGUAGUUUCAGCACAGGAUCAUGGUAUGUAGGUCAAGUGGCUACUCACAAAACAUAGGCUGCU